UGAUUAAUUUAAUGGCCGCAGUAUUUUGACUGUGCAAAGGUAGCAUAAUCAUUAGUCUAUUAAUUGUGGACUUGUAUGAAUGGUUGGACGAAAUAUUAUCUGUCUCUUUUUAAUUAUUAGAAUUUAAAUUUUGAGUUAAAAUGCUUAAAUUUUUUUAUAGGACGAGAAGACCCUAUUGAUUUUUAUUAUUAUUGGAUAAUUUUAUUUUUGGUUUAUUAUAUUUAUUUAUCUUUUUAAUUUUUUUGUUGGGGUGACAUUUGAAUAUAUUUAACUUUUUUUUUUAUUUUUCAUUUAUUUAUGUUUAAUUGACCUUUUAUUAAUGUUAUAAGAUAUAAAUACCAUAGGGAUAACAGCGUAAUUCCUUUAGAGAGUUCUUAUUGACAAAGGAGAUUGCGACCUCGAUGUUGGAUUAAGAUUAUUAUUAGGUGUAGAUGCUUAAAUUAAUAGGUCUGUUCGACCUUUAAAUUCUUACAUGAUCUGAGUUA
RNAcentral lists this ribosomal RNA (485 nucleotides) under Pharnacia ponderosa. Its description in RNAcentral is "partial 16S ribosomal RNA". The stretch from base 346 to 485 matches the Rfam family "Bacterial large subunit ribosomal RNA", at positions 2473 to 2612 of the family's 2925-position model. Lineage: Eukaryota; Metazoa; Arthropoda; Insecta; Phasmatodea; Phasmatidae. The record is from RNAcentral.